RNAcentral lists this long non-coding RNA (284 nucleotides) under Lathyrus oleraceus (garden pea). RNAcentral's name for it is "Pisum sativum (pea) long non-coding RNA (PSAT_LNC012466)". Lineage: Eukaryota; Viridiplantae; Streptophyta; Magnoliopsida; Fabales; Fabaceae. The record is from RNAcentral.
GAUGCUAAUACCUUCCCCUUGCAUAAUCGACUCCCGAACCCGAAUAUGGUUGUGACGACCAUUAUUCUAUUUUCUAAAGGUUUUAUCGAUAUUUUCCUAUUCCUUCAUUGGGAUGAAUAAAGUUCGGUGACGACUCUGUUUGAACUAAUUUUUCCGCGACCAUCACGAGGGAUCGUAUUUCUCAAGAUGCGACAACUGGAAACUCUAUUAGGGAAUUUGCUUCAUGCAAGAGAGAGUCAAGCUUAAUUUAGUUUAAUUUGCAAUGAAUGUUAAAAUGUUGUUUC